RNAcentral lists this ribosomal RNA (483 nucleotides) under uncultured bacterium. RNAcentral describes it as "bacterial SSU rRNA". It matches the Rfam family "Bacterial small subunit ribosomal RNA", at positions 29 to 504 of the family's 1533-position model. The record is from RNAcentral.
AAUGAACGCUGGCGGCAGGCUUAACACAUGCAAGUCGAGCGGAGAUGAGGUGCUUGCACCUUAUCUUAGCGGCGGACGGGUGAGUAAUGCUUAGGAAUCUGCCUAUUAGUGGGGGACAACAUUCCGAAAGGAAUGCUAAUACCGCAUACGUCCUACGGGAGAAAGCAGGGGAUCUUCGGACCUUGCGCUAAUAGAUGAGCCUAAGUCGGAUUAGCUAGUUGGUGGGGUAAAGGCCUACCAAGGCGACGAUCUGUAGCGGGUCUGAGAGGAUGAUCCGCCACACUGGGACUGAGACACGGCCCAGACUCCUACGGGAGGCAGCAGUGGGGAAUAUUGGACAAUGGGGGGAACCCUGAUCCAGCCAUGCCGCGUGUGUGAAGAAGGCCUUAUGGUUGUAAAGCACUAUAAGCGAGGAGGAGGCUACUGAGACUAAUACUCUUGGAUAGUGGACGUUACUCGUCAGAAUAAGCACCGGCUAACUCU